GAUGAACGCUGGCGGCGUGCCUAAUACAUGCAAGUCGAGCGAACGGACGAGAAGCUUGCUUCUCUGAUGUUAGCGGCGGACGGGUGAGUAACACGUGGAUAACCUACCUAUAAGACUGGGAUAACUUCGGGAAACCGUAGCUAAUACCGGAUAAUAUUUUGAACCGCAUGGUUCAAAAGUGAAAGACGGUCUUGCUGUCACUUAUAGAUGGAUCCGCGCUGCAUUAGCUAGUUGGUAAGGUAACGGCUUACCAAGGCAACGAUGCAUAGCCGACCUGAGAGGGUGAUCGGCCACACUGGAACUGAGACACGGUCCAGACUCCUACGGGAGGCAGCAGUAGGGAAUCUUCCGCAAUGGGCGAAAGCCUGACGGAGCAACGCCGCGUGAGUGAUGAAGGUCUUCGGAUCGUAAAACUCUGUUAUUAGGGAAGAACAUAUGUGUAAGUAACUGUGCACAUCUUGACGGUACCAAUCAGAAAGCCACGGCUAACUACGUGCCAGCAGCCGCGGUAAUACGUAGGUGGCAAGCGUUAUCCGGAAUUAUUGGGCGUAAAGCGCGCGUAGGCGGUUUUUUAAGUCUGAUGUGAAAGCCCACGGCUCAACCGUGGAGGGUCAUUGGAAACUGGAAAACUUGAGUGCAGAAGAGGAAAGUGGAAUUCCAUGUGUAGCGAUGAAAUGCGCAGAGAUAUGGAGGAACACCAGUGGCGAAGGCGACUUUCUGGUCUGUAACUGACGCUGAUGUGCGAAAGCGUGGGGAUCAAACAGGAUUAGAUACCCUGGUAGUCCACGCCGUAAACGAUGAGUGCUAAGUGUUAGGGGGUUUCCGCCCCUUAGUGCUGCAGCUAACGCAUCAAGCACUCCGCCUGGGGAGUACGACCCGCAGGUUG
This 886-nucleotide ribosomal RNA is filed under the name uncultured Staphylococcus sp. Its description in RNAcentral is "bacterial SSU rRNA". It matches the Rfam family "Bacterial small subunit ribosomal RNA", at positions 28 to 896 of the family's 1533-position model. The record is from RNAcentral. Lineage: Bacteria; Bacillati; Bacillota; Bacilli; Caryophanales; Staphylococcaceae.